RNAcentral lists this ribosomal RNA (369 nucleotides) under uncultured bacterium. RNAcentral's name for it is "bacterial SSU rRNA". It matches the Rfam family "Bacterial small subunit ribosomal RNA", at positions 527 to 896 of the family's 1533-position model. The record is from RNAcentral.
GUAGGCMGCAAGCGUUGUUCGGAGUUACUGGGCGUAAAGGGUGUGUAGGCGGUUCCUUAAGUUUGCUGUGAAAUCUCCCGGCUUAACCGGGAGGGUGCGGUGAAUACUGAGGGACUAGAGUACGGGAGAGGAAAGUGGAAUUCCUGGUGUAGCGGUGAAAUGCGUAGAUAUCAGGAGGAACACCGGUGGUGUAGACGGCUUUCUGGACCGUAACUGACGCUGAGACACGAAAGCGUGGGUAGCAAACAGGAUUAGAUACCCUGGUAGUCCACGCCCUAAACGAUGCAUAUUUGGUGUGGGCAGUUCAUUCUGUCCGUGCCGGAGCUAACGCGUUAAAUAUGCCGCCUGGGGAGUACAGUCGCAAGGCUG